CCUGAGGAGGACCCAAGUCUGGUUAAGCUGGGAGGAGUACCCAAUGCCACCACCUCUAUCCCCAGCCUUCCCUGACUACCCCCGUGGCACCUCUUAGUUAACUGCACCGGGGUUUAUGCCCAGAGGGCUUCCCGGCACCUGUUUUCGGUACUCUCAUCAGGGACCAAUGGGGCUUAAAAAGGGUCAAAAGAAGGGAAGAGCAGCUUCCAAGGAUCACCACUUUGGGGAGGUUUCUGGACUGGACUGUUUUGGAGACUUCCAGUGGCCCCUGUUGUUCGUGUGGAUCAAGAGAGGGUGGUGGGAACUCUCCCCUUCCUCAUUCCCUGAGGCAGAGUCAAGGGAAACCACCCAUCCACCCAACUGGACCGGCUUCCCCAUUCAACUUUUGGGCUGUGGGGAAUCUAUGGCUCUCUGGGAGCUGCUUCCAGCCCAAUGGCACUGGACAGAGGUCUAGGGAUGGGGCACAGCUUCUCCAGGGAGUUUGAGGGCCCUGUGCUGACAGUUCAUCACUAAUCACUUGCCAAUUCCCCAGGAAGAACGUGUCAGCGGGUGGGGUUUCUGCCAGAGUCCGAAGCAAGCGGGCAGCAGGAGAAGCAGUGGGGCUUGGGGAGGUAAGAGCCUCCCGCACCAGGCCACGACAUACCUGGGAGACAGAGUCACCCUAUGGUCUCAUCAACAUCCAGUGGGCAUUUCAGUGGCCCAGGAUCCUUCAAAUUGCAGAUAUAAAGCAUCAGGACCCCACACCUGGGAUGGAAGCUUCUAGGAAAUCAUGAAGCUCCAGUAGAGGUGAGGGUAAACCUGAAAUGGGCUGGAUAGGGCCUCUCCCAAGGCCCUAUGGAAAGGUGAUGGAAAACUGGGGGCUGAGGCCUCAUCCUAGGAGACCCCCAGAGGGACCCACUUACCCUAGAUAGGCAGCGGAGGCCAGAAACUGGAAAACAGCCACUCAUUGUUGGUGCAUUACGUGGGCACCACCUGUAGGAACUCUGUUGGCCUCCAGCCGUCGUCAAACGUUCCUGACAACCACAAAAGUUCAUUUGAGGGUGCCCAGUCAGCUGCCUUUGCUUCCACAAAGAAUACCCAUCUGGCCCUGGUCCUUCUGCUGAGCCACAGGAGGCACUCCCACGGUCUUAGCAAAAACAACCCCUCAAAUAGGCCCAGCACCUACAACUCUAGAGAGGUUUCAGAUGGUAUCAGAGACCCAGAGAAGUUAACUGACUUUCCAAAAAGUCACCCAUUGUAAAUGGCAGACCGAUCUCAAACCCACAUCUGAGCCUGAGUCCAGUGCUUUUUCUCUAGUAUCAUCAUUGUCCCUUAAAUGUGUUUGACACAUCAUAGUUUACAAACUACCUUUACUCAUAUUCUCUCACUACUCAUUAAUCAUAAAUUCAGCCAAUGAGAAGGGCUCAGAGAGGUUAACUAACCAGCCACACUGUCUACAGGGGGCAUAGACUGCUUUGUGAACGCUUGACCGCAGCUUUGCCUUCUUUGUGCCCUCAAAAAGGAAGAUGACCAAAGCUUACUAUACCAUAGCUGGGGUCUGGGACCCCCAGUCAGGUCUCACAGGUGAUCUGGGAAUGGCCUCCCUGGUGCUCUCAGGGGUCCAGUAGUCAGACAGGAGAGUCAGGUUGAAAUCU
Molecule: non-coding RNA, 1634 nt
Organism: Chlorocebus sabaeus (green monkey)
Lineage: Eukaryota; Metazoa; Chordata; Mammalia; Primates; Cercopithecidae
Source: RefSeq, a predicted model, not a curated record